RNAcentral lists this unclassified non-coding RNA (400 nucleotides) under Hevea brasiliensis (rubber tree). The record is from RNAcentral. Lineage: Eukaryota; Viridiplantae; Streptophyta; Magnoliopsida; Malpighiales; Euphorbiaceae.
AAAAUAAACCAACUGUACAUUAUUCAUUUUGAGAAAAACAGAGCCAACUAUCUAAAACUUGAAAGUGGGGAUUGGGGCUUUUUUUUAAAAAAAAGACAAAUUGAAACCACCAAAGUACUACAAAUAUCACAAACCUCUACUAAUAAUAUAUAACCCUAUCUCCACACCUGGUCAUUCCUUUACCUUUCCCCUCUAAAUAUAUAAAUAUAAGAGCCAACAGCAGAAACCCAAUUCUCACAUGCUGCACACCUUGCCUUUUUGGUGCUCCCUCUGGAAUUGGCUUUUAUUGAGUAGAAGAAAUAUCAAAUCUUCAGCCAAAAGUAUCAAUUUUUUCCUUUCUUCACUUUAGAGAAGUUUGGACAAAAAGCUUUUUAUCACCUAUGUCAUUACUGUAUGUCUG